This is a long non-coding RNA of Papilio xuthus (Asian swallowtail), 324 nucleotides long. RefSeq lists it as uncharacterized. Lineage: Eukaryota; Metazoa; Arthropoda; Insecta; Lepidoptera; Papilionidae. The record is from RefSeq and is a predicted model, not a curated record. The transcript has 3 exons.
CUGCUGGCCGCCGUCGGCGCGCUGGCGCUGCUGCUGCUGCGAUUGCACCUCACCGCCGUGCACGCCCGCGCCCAGCUAUACAUGAAGCGAGGCGAGUGGGCGCGCGUGGUGUGCGGCGCAGGAGCGGCAGUGGGCGCGGGACUGGCUGGCGGACUCGGCGCCAGUGCGGCGAUGGGCGCGCUGCUGCACGAGCUCGGGGCCCGCCUCGCCUUCUACUCUCGCCCGUGGUUGCUGGUCCCUUUGUACGCGCUACCAGCGGUGUGCGGCUGCUGGGGCUCGGCGCGCUGGACGUGGGCGCGGGCUGUGGGCGCGCGCGGGGCGGCG